GACGAACGCUGGCGGCGUGCUUAACACAUGCAAGUCGAACGGUGAAGCGCCUUCCUUUUUGGUGGGUGUGGUUGAGUGGCGAACGGGUGAGUAACACGUGAGUAACCUGCCCCCUUCUUCUGGUUAACCGCAUGAAAGUGUGGCUAAUACGGGAUAUUCUGGGUCUUUCUCUUGAUUGGUCUUUGAACGUUAUUGUUUCGGUGGGGGAUGGUCUCGCGGACUAUCAGCUUGUUGGUGGGGUGAUGGCCUACCAAGGCGGUGAAGGGUAGCCGGCCUGAGAGGGUGGACGGAAACACGGGGGCAGAGACACGGCGAAGACGACUACGGGAGGCAGAAGGGGGGAAUAGAGCACAAUGGGAGCAAGGCAGAAGAAGGGAGGCCGGGUGAGGGAGGGAGGAAUGAGGGUUGUGAACAUCUAUGGGGAGUGAAGAAGGACUGAAUGGGUUGUGGGGGGGUUGACGGUAGCUGGAAAAGAAGCGACGGCUAACUACGUG
This 494-nucleotide ribosomal RNA is filed under the name uncultured bacterium. Its description in RNAcentral is "partial 16S ribosomal RNA". It matches the Rfam family "Bacterial small subunit ribosomal RNA", at positions 28 to 507 of the family's 1533-position model. The record is from RNAcentral.